This is a long non-coding RNA of Bos indicus x Bos taurus (hybrid cattle), 1195 nucleotides long. NCBI's taxonomy places the organism in Eukaryota, Metazoa, Chordata, Mammalia, Artiodactyla, Bovidae. The record is from Ensembl.
GAAAUGCCGACAAGAGAUGGGAGUGCGGAAGAGAGUGGAGCAAGGCUGACUCCCAACUCUGACCCCAGCUGCUCUGGUCCUGAAAGCCUCGGCUCCUCUCCUGGCCUUCAUCUACACUGACAGCUGCUUCUAGGUCCUGGAGCAUCCUCUCCCCUUCUCGUUCAGGUCCGGGAUGGUAAAGGCUCUCCAAUGCUGUCCCAAAGUGCUUCCCUGUCCCUUGCUGAUUUUCCCUUAACCAUCCCUGAACUGCUAUAACUAGUCCACUUAUUGACUGAUUGAUUUUUCCAUUUGCGGGCACCAUCUGCUUCCUUCCAUCUGCUUUCUUCAGAGACCCUGACCAAUGGCCCAGGCUCCUCUUUGGGUUCACAGCAUUUGCCAGCAUUAGAAGCACAUCCUUCAAGACUCCCCAUUUCCAAGAAUCCUCGCCAGAUUGUCCUUAAAAUACAUGUCUGGACUUACUUUCCACACACCAUUUAGCCUGUGUCAUCCUCUCCCUCUCACUCCGGACAGCAAUCCAUCCCCAAGACUCUGCCCACCAGCCCAGGGCAGGUGCGAGCUCUCCCUAAACCCCCUCUGUGCUUCCCUCAACAGCUAGCACAAGUCGUAUGCUCUCAGAAGAAGUUUGAGAGACCAAUAAACAUUCCCUCCCUUGCUCACACCCAGAGAACAUCACUUCAGCACUUUCGUUUGAAACACCAACGGUUUUUCAUACUGACUUUUUCUCAGUCCAUGACUCUCAAGAGGGCCUGGCCUGGGGAUGUGCCUGCCAUGGUCUCUCCCCCACGGUCCACCAGGGAAUGCAGAGCAACACAGAAGACUGAGCCUCAGGUGCCUAGUGCCUCAGGAUUCCUCUUCUGGACUGAUCAGACUCAGCCAAUCACUGGAAAGAGGCUCCUGUUGAAAAAGCUGCAGCCCUCUUCGGCUCCCUGACUGCACCUCUCCCCACCAUGCUGGGAGGUCAAGACGGAUGAGGGCGGGCGCCUCUCUGGAGCCAGGUCUAAUCAGAGAUACAGCUUCCAGAUGAAUCACCUUUGCAAGGCCUCCUUGCCAUGCCCCUUUGAAUUAAAAGAGCUCCCUCUACUAAUAUAUUAAUUAAAAUGAAAUAUUAAUAAGCUGACCUCUAUUAUUUAUCAGCUGUUUGGGGAGAAAAGAAAAAUAUUGAGAUCCAAAGAGAAAUCAAUUUCCCCAAAACCGC